RNAcentral lists this ribosomal RNA (1512 nucleotides) under Triticum aestivum (bread wheat). RNAcentral's name for it is "partial small subunit ribosomal RNA". The record is from RNAcentral. Lineage: Eukaryota; Viridiplantae; Streptophyta; Magnoliopsida; Poales; Poaceae.
AUGGAUUCACUUGGAGGUCACCACACGGCGGCGGCCCACGCCAAGGUGGAGCUGGAAGCGGAGCUCGGCGAGCGCAACGGCGCCCCCGCCAUCAAUCCCCUCGUCGAGCAAGAAGCACGCGGCCCGAUGCCGAUGGCCGACGACCGGCGGACUCGCCCAGAGCGAGUGCGCCGUCUUAUCCGGAGGCUCCGCCCGGCGCCCAUCGGGAGCGCGUUCAAGCGGUGGCUGAAGCACCCGGCGCACCUCGCGCAGUUCGCGUGGGCGGUCUGCGUCGCGCUGUCGUUCGCCCUGCUCGGCCUCCUCCUCCUCGGCGUCUUCGACGGCGCCUUCCGGCGCAGGUCCGUCCGCGACCGGUGGGUCGAGAUCGUCAACCAGAUCCUGAACGCGCUCUUCACCCUCAUGACCAUCUACCAGCACCCCGAGCUCUUCCACCACGCCGCCCUGCUGCUCCGGUGGCGGCCGGGGGACGAGAAGGAGCUCCGGAAGGCCUACUGCCGGAAGGGCUCGGGUGGCGGUGAAGCGCAGCGGGAGCGGGAGCGGCUUCACCUGUCCGUGGUGGUCGGGCUCCUCCACCUCACCUGCUUCGCGCAGUACGCCAUGUGUGGGCUCUUCUGGGGGUACUCCAGCACAGCCCGCCCAGACGCCGCCAUGACCCCGCUCGCCGGGGUCAGCGCCGUGGCACCCGUCGUCGCUGGCCUGUACAUGUACUACAGCCCGCUUGGGAGGAAAAGCGAGCAAAGCAUGCACCAAGAAACUGAAGAGGUCUGCGACGACGACAGCAUGGUUGCGGCGGUGAUCACCGACCCCGCGGGAAGGGAGUGGGCCGGCGGGCUGCUGGACGUGCGCGACGACCCGGCGGCGUGCUGGCUCUCGUGCCUCUGCACCUUCUGCGUGUUCGGGUGGAACAUGGAGCGGCUGGGGUUCGGGAACAUGCACGUGCACGGCGCCAUGUUCGCGCUCCUCUGCUUCGCGCCGCUGUGGGUGCUCAGCCAUGCCGCCACGAACAUCCGGAGCAAGGCCGUCAGCAACGCGGUCAGCGCCGCCGGGGUGGUGCUCUGCGCGCUCGGCCUGCUCUACGGCGGGUUCUGGCGGGCGCGGAUGCGGCGCAAGUUCGGGCUCGCCGGCAAGGACAGACUACCCUUCUUCUCCUCACUGUCGCUCGACGUCGCCGACUAUCUGCAGUGGAUGUUCUGCUGGGGGUGCGCGCUGGCGCAGGAGGUGCGGACCGGGAACCUUCUCCUCGACGUCGAGUCGACCGGAGGCUCCGGUGGUGUGCAAGUGCAAGUUGAUAACAGCCUACGGCCUUUGCCAAGAGAGGAUGGUAGCUUUGAGAUCGCAGCAGUCGCUGGCACUCCCUCUGUUCCACUGGCCUAUAACUCGCCGCGUCGAGGCGAGGAGUUGCCAUUGGUGCAGCUGAAGCGGGACGGCAGUUGGUCACCUGGAGAAAUGAGGCCACCAGUUCCGCCAUUGAUGCAGGACGGCGGAGGUCCUCAAGGUGGGCGAAUUCAGUGA